Long non-coding RNA from Seriola aureovittata, 1698 nucleotides. RefSeq lists it as uncharacterized. Lineage: Eukaryota; Metazoa; Chordata; Actinopteri; Carangiformes; Carangidae. The record is from RefSeq and is a predicted model, not a curated record. The transcript is spliced from 3 exons.
ACCGGAAACAGAGACAGCUCGUCUUCAUAGUAAAGAUUGCGUGUUUAAUUUUCAAUUUAAGGAGAGUACAGCUAACCUUUGCCGUGAGGUACAAUUGUUGCCGGAAUCUGACUUUCGCGAGAUCGCACGUGAUUCACAGCUGGCGCUAGGAGGAAGAGAGACGGACGUCGUCGUCGUUUGUAAUUGGUGGAUUUAUGUGUCCGUCUACAGUUUCUGUGAAAGUAACCAAUGAACGCUCAGGAAAUCACUAAGGUCCCACCCAUUACCUUAGACACGCUGCAGUUCAGUCAACAGCGGAGAGGUUUGAAAAAUGGAAAGUGUGGAGACUGGUGCAGCGGUCUGGCAAAGCAGAGACGGAGCUUAGGGCCUGAAUGGUUUGAUUCCUACUUUGAGGAGGAACACCACACUAGAAGGGGUCCAUUUGAAUAUGGAGAGGAUUCACAGCUGCCAAAGCCCAGUGAACUACAUGCAGCAUCUCUCCAGCAGCCACCACCUCUUUCUCUGCCUGCCACUAGGUCAAGAUGAUCCUCGGCACAAGGGCCUCCAUCACAGCCAUUACCACCAGCAAAGAUGUCCUGUGCCCCUCAAGCACAAGUACCUCCCCCACAGCCACCAGCAGCAAACAGCAGCCAACCCUGCUGUCUUGGAAUACAGACAACGAUCGAGACACUGCUCCCUCUGUCUCCUGGUUUCAACCAGCUCAGACACCAGGCAUACAGCUUAGCUCAGCUCCACUUCCACACAUACACCCCUUGACCUUUUCAAACUUUUUUUCACUGUACCAACAGGACAAACACUGUGUCAAAGCACAAACACUCUGGGGAAGAAAUACAAAUGGACAGACGUAGGGGAGUUUUACAAGUACAUUGGGCUGCUUCUGUUCAUAUACGGAUAGAUAUAGAACAAUAUCCUAGAACCUUUAUCUUAGCGACCCUGAUGAGGAUGUACAAACUCUUCCGACUAAAACCCAUGAUGGACACCCACAAGGAUGAAUGCAAGUUAUUUUAUCAUCCCCCAUAGAGAUCUGACUGGAUGAAAGAAUGGUCGCCUCCAAGGCUAAAACUGGGAUGACCCAGCAUAUGAAAGCAAACACCCAAGUGGGGAUUCAAGCUGUUUGUCUUGUCUCCUGAUUCAAAGAAUGGCUACACAGUGGACUUUACAAUUUGGACUGGCAAAAGAAACAGGCCUUUGGGUAUGGCCUGUCCUAUGAUUUUGUGAUGUCCCUUGUGCAGACAGGUUACCUAGGCACAGGCUACCACAUUUAUAUGGAGAUUUUUUAUUCUAGCCCCAAGCUCUUCAGUGCUCCCCCCGAUGAGCACAGAUUUGCUGCCUGUAGGACUUGCAGGGAGGACUGCAAGGACUCUCCGCAGACAUAAAUGCCCUCAGAAGAAAAUCAGAAAAGGGCUCCAUAAGAUGGAUGUGGUAUGCCUCAUCAUCCAUGAGAAAAGGAUGGACACAAGGGUAGUAUCAGUAUGCUCCAUGAUUCACACAGCACACUCUGGAAAAACUGUGCCAAGGAGGAUGACACAACAAGAUGCCUCCUGGACAAAGGUAUCAACCCCCUGGCCUACAUUUUGCAUCAUGGCACGUCAGUCAAAAAAAUGAAUCCUGAAAACAUGCACAUUAUGUAAAUAUGGCAAAUAGUAUAUUUUUCUGUAUGAUUUUUUUAAAAAUAUAUAGUAAAUAUUUGGUUUGAGA